Molecule: ribosomal RNA, 572 nt
Filed under: fungal endophyte sp. MS29
Lineage: Eukaryota; Fungi
Description: eukaryotic LSU rRNA
Rfam family: 5.8S ribosomal RNA (bases 199-352)
Source: RNAcentral
GGGAAGCCGGUAAGGGAUCAUUAAGAGUUCUAUAACUCCCAAACCCAUGUGAACAUACCAUACGUUGCCUCGGCAGGUCGCGCCUACCCCGUAGCGUCCUACCCUAUAGGACCUACCCGGUAGACGCGGGUAAGCCUGCCGGCGGCCCAAGAAACUCUGUUUAGUAUUGAAUUCUGAACCUAUAACUAAAUAAGUUAAAACUUUCAACAACGGAUCUCUUGGUUCUGGCAUCGAUGAAGAACGCAGCGAAAUGCGAUAAGUAAUGUGAAUUGCAGAAUUCAGUGAAUCAUCGAAUCUUUGAACGCACAUUGCGCCCAUUAGUAUUCUAGUGGGCAUGCCUGUUCGAGCGUCAUUUCAACCCUUAAGCCCUCGUUGCUUAGUGUUGGGAGCCUACGGUACCCGUAGCUCCUCAAAGUUAGUGGCGGAGUCGGUUCACACUUUAGACGUAGUAAUUUUAUCUCGCCUAUCAGUUGGACCGGUCCCCUGCCGUAAAACACCCCAAUUUCUAAAGGUUGACCUCGGAUCAGGUAGGAAUACCCGCUGAACUUAAGCAUAUCAAUAAGCGGAGGAAU